UUCCUCGCGUCAGGAUGAACGCUAGCGGCAGGCCGUAAUACAUGCAAGUCGAACGAGAUUGGGGUAGCGUUGCUCCCCCAUGAGAGUGGCGUACGGGUGGCGUAACGCGUGAGCAACCUACCGUUGUCUGGGGAGUAGCCCGGAGAAAUCCGGAUUAAUACCGCAUAACAUCAGUUUUCAGCAUUGUGAACUGAUCAAACAUUUAUGGGACAGCGAUGGGCUCGCGUGACAUUAGCUAGUUGGAGUGGUAACGGCACACCAAGGCGACGAUGUCUAGGGGAUCUGAGAGGAUGACCCCCCACACUGGGACUGAGACACGGCCCAGACUCCUACGGGAGGCAGCAGUAAGGAAUAUUGGUCAAUGGAGGCAACUCUGAACCAGCCAUGCCGCGUGCAGGAAGAAUGCCCUCUGGGUUGUAAACUGCUUUUAUACGGGAAUAAACCCCACUACGUGUAGUGGGCUGAAUGUACCGUAGGAAUAAGGAUCGGCUAACUCCGUG
RNAcentral lists this ribosomal RNA (500 nucleotides) under uncultured Sphingobacteriaceae bacterium. Its description in RNAcentral is "bacterial SSU rRNA". It matches the Rfam family "Bacterial small subunit ribosomal RNA", at positions 16 to 507 of the family's 1533-position model. The record is from RNAcentral. Lineage: Bacteria; Pseudomonadati; Bacteroidota; Sphingobacteriia; Sphingobacteriales; Sphingobacteriaceae.